GAUCUAUAGUUCCUUUUACAAGGUUUCUUUAUAGUGACAGACACCCUAAUGGCUUUAGAUAGUCUAACUUGCGCUUGCUUAGAUUUUAAUUUUGAUGUUCAAAACAGUCUGAUUUUUGCCCUAAUUUAUUUCUCCGAUUUCCCAGCAGUUUAUGCUGUGGACUUAGGCCUCAAGGCUUUGUGAGUCCCCCACUAGCUGCCAAUCUUUAUGUACACUGGAAUUUUUCUUGAGUCCCCCAACUAAUGGUUGCCACCCAUGCAGACCCCAAUACAACUACAGAGACCUCCGUGAAACUGCAGAAUCCUUCAGGGAACUUAAACUCUAGAACCUUUCUAGGGCCUCAGAACACUUCUGCUAAGCAACCCACAAUCAUUCCAUGGCUGUAGAACCUUUCUGAGAGCAUUCUGAUCCAACCAUAUAAAGUUUGGAUCAGAGAACUGCAUGCGAAGGACCAAAGCUCACAUUUUUGACCUACCCAGGCUUCCGUAGUGCAGAGAAGCCGCUUAAACUUAAAAGGGUUCUCAGCCCUGGCUCUGUGCGGGAGCUUUCUCUGUGCGCCUGGUCCUGCCGGCCUGGUAAUAGCAGGAUUGGGAUCCCGUUCCUCGUCACCAAAAACUUAAGAAAUGAAUUUAAAGAAGACCGUUUAUAUGCUGAGAAUUGCAAAAUGAGGCAAAAGGCAGGAAGCUUUUAUAGGGUAAAGAAUGAAGAACGAGGAAAAAGAAAAUACCUGACUGGCAGGGGCUACACAGCCAGCCUUGUUUGGAGUGAGAAGAAACCAGGAAAUAUGUAUGGGACCUAGCGUUGGUUUGGCGUUGGCGGAUUUGUUUAACUGAAUAUACUGUGUUUCUGGUCAAGCGGAGCAUUUACGGGAACCUGAAAGUUCAGUUUGCCGACAUCACACCCUGGGCAGGAGCAGCUCCAUCUUGGGCCUAGAAACUUCUUCCAACCCUGGUUGCAGAACAUCGAUUAACCAGAAAUACAUUACCAGAUCAAAGUGAUUUAAUGUUCCACCUACCUGCGGUCAACCACUGACCAGAAGCAGAUGGUCCUACUUCUGAUUUAUCAUCAAAAGGUUAGUAAUAGCCUGAGGUUUCAUCACAACGCCCUGUUUAUUCACUUCACUUCAUCUCAUCAGGUAAGCAUUUUUCAUCUCACGUCAUCACGAGAAGAAGGGUGAGUACAGUAUAAUAAAAUAUUUUGAGAGAGAAACCACAUUCACAUAACUUUAAUUAUACUAUAUUGUUAUAAUUGUUCUAUUUUAUUUAUUGUUGCUAAUAUAUUACUGUGCCUAAUUUGUAAAUUAAAUUUUUUCAUGUAUAGAAAGAAACAUAGUAUACAUAGGGUUUGGUACUAUCCAUGAUUUGAGGAUUUGGAGGAUAAUGCCCAUGGGUAAGUGUGGAGUAUUGUAUAUGGCACAAGAAGUAUCUGGAAUACAUAUUGAUUCUAAAGGUGGCUGUAAAAAUAAUUUAUUCAGUUAAUAACACAUUGAGCUGCUUUUGUGAAUGAUCUACUUUUGUGAAUUUAUUGUUAAUGAGGACUUGAAUUGGUUUUAAAAUGUGAAAUUCCAGGGGUGCCUGGGUGGUUCAGUUGGUUAAGCAUGGGACUUCUGUUCAGGUCAUAAUGUUGGAGUUCGUGGGUUUGAGCCCUGCAUCAGGC
Molecule: long non-coding RNA, 1656 nt
Organism: Felis catus (domestic cat)
Lineage: Eukaryota; Metazoa; Chordata; Mammalia; Carnivora; Felidae
Exons: 3
Source: RefSeq, a predicted model, not a curated record